Molecule: ribosomal RNA, 581 nt
Filed under: uncultured bacterium
Lineage: Bacteria
Description: partial 16S ribosomal RNA
Rfam family: Bacterial small subunit ribosomal RNA
Source: RNAcentral
UGGGGAAUUUUGGACAAUGGGCGAAAGCCUGAUCCAGCAAUGCCGCGUGUGUGAAGAAGGCCUUCGGGUUGUAAAGCACUUUUGUCCGGAAAGAAAUCCUUGGCUCUAAUACAGUCGGGGGAUGACGGUACCGGAAGAAUAAGCACCGGCUAACUACGUGCCAGCAGCCGCGGUAAUACGUAGGGUGCAAGCGUUAAUCGGAAUUACUGGGCGUAAAGCGUGCGCAGGCGGUUUGCUAAGACCGAUGUGAAAUCCCCGGGCUCAACCUGGGAACUGCAUUGGUGACUGGCAGGCUAGAGUAUGGCAGAGGGGGGUAGAAUUCCACGUGUAGCAGUGAAAUGCGUAGAGAUGUGGAGGAAUACCGAUGGCGAAGGCAGCCCCCUGGGGCCAAAUACUGACGCUCAUGCACGAAAGCGUGGGGAGCAAAACAGGAUUAGAUACCCUGGUAGUCCACGCCCUAAACGAUGUCAACUAGUUGUUGGGGAUUCAUUUCCUUAGUAACGUAGCUAACGCGUGAAGUUGACCGCUGGGGAGUACGGUCGCAAGAUUAAAACUCAAAUGAAUUGACGGGGUCAUAGCUG